This 433-nucleotide unclassified non-coding RNA is filed under the name Hevea brasiliensis (rubber tree). Lineage: Eukaryota; Viridiplantae; Streptophyta; Magnoliopsida; Malpighiales; Euphorbiaceae. The record is from RNAcentral.
UUUAAAAUGAAAAUUGAGAUUUCUAUCUUAAAUUAUACUAGGAAAUGAACUAAUAAUUAUUUCAGAGUUUGCUGGGAUAUUAGAGAAAAAUAGUGUACGUAAUCUCCUUGAAACAUGCACAUUGUUAUUCAUAAAACCUUAAUCUGAAGAAGCAUACAAAUCUCUCCCACAACGGUCACAUGUUGUAGAACCAGGCGGGGAAGCCUUUUCUGGUUUGGCUUUCUGCAUGUUCGGUAAAUCAAGCUCCAGAACUUCAUGCAGCGCCUUUGAGCCUUCUUGAAGUUCAUCCAAACUUAUGGAGAGUGGAGGAGUUAACCGGACAAUGGUAUCAUGUGUGGGCUUAGCAAGAACUCCUCUUUCCUUCAACUUCAGACAAAUAUCAUAAGCAGAAAUGGGGGACAAAGUCUUGCUGUUGAACUCCACAGCAUUGAAC